Molecule: ribosomal RNA, 402 nt
Filed under: uncultured bacterium
Lineage: Bacteria
Description: bacterial SSU rRNA
Rfam family: Bacterial small subunit ribosomal RNA
Source: RNAcentral
UGGGGAAUCUUGCGCAAUGGGGGAAACCCUGAUGCAGCGACGCCGCGUGAACGAUGAAGCCCUUCGGGGUGUAAAGUUCUUUCGACAGGAACGAUAAUGACGGUACCUGGAGAAGAAGCUGCGGCUAACUACGUGCCAGCAGCCGCGGUAAUACGUAGGCAGCGAGCGUUGUUCGGAGUUACUGGGCGUAAAGAGUGCGUAGGCGGCGAGCCAAGUUUGGUGUGAAAUCUCCCGGCUUAACCGGGAGGGUGCGCCGAAAACUGGUUGGCUGGAGUAUGGGAGAGNAAAGCGGAAUUCCUGGUGUAGCGGUGAAAUGCGUAGAUAUCAGGAGGAACACCUGCGGUGUAGACAGCUUUCUGGACCAAAACUGACGCUGAGGCACGAAAGCGUGGGUAGCAAACA